RNAcentral lists this ribosomal RNA (1340 nucleotides) under uncultured bacterium. RNAcentral describes it as "bacterial SSU rRNA". It matches the Rfam family "Bacterial small subunit ribosomal RNA", at positions 28 to 1387 of the family's 1533-position model. The record is from RNAcentral.
GACGAACGCUUGCGGCGCGCCUAACACAUGCAAGUCAAACGAGCGAGAGAGAGCUUGCUUUCUCGAGCGAGUGGCGAACGGGUGAGUAACGCGUGAGGAACCUGCCUCAGAGAGGGGGACAACAGUUGGAAACGACUGCUAAUACCGCAUAAGCCCGCGGGUCGGCAUCGACCAGAGGGAAAAGGAGCAAUCCGCUUUGAGAUGGCCUCGCGUCCGAUUAGCUAGUUGGUGAGGUAACGGCCCACCAAGGCGACGAUCGGUAGCCGGACUGAGAGGUUGAACGGCCACGUUGGGACUGAGACACGGCCCACACUCCUACGGGAGGCAGCAGUGGGGAAUAUUGCACAAUGGGGGGAAACCCUGAUGCAGCGACGCCGCGUGGAGGAAGAAGGUCUUCGGAUUGUAAACUCCUGUUUGUUGAGGAAGAUAAUGACGGUACUCAACAAGGAAGUGACGGCUAACUACGUGCCAGCAGCCGCGGUAAAACGUAGGUCACAAGCGUUGUCCGGAAUUACUGGGUGUAAAGGGAGCGCAGGCGGGAAGACAAGUUGGAAGUGAAAUCCAUGGGCUCAACCCAUGAACUGCUUUCAAAACUGUUUUUCUUGAGUAGUGCAGAGGUAGGCGGAAUUCCCGGUGUAGCGGUGGAAUGCGUAGAUAUCGGGAGGAACACCAGUGGCGAAGGCGGCCUACUGGGCACCAACUGACGCUGAGGCUCGAAAGUGUGGGUAGCAAACAGGAUUAGAUACCCUGGUAGUCCACACCGUAAACGAUGAUUACUAGGUGUUGGAGGAUUGACCCCUUCAGUGCCGCAGUUAACACAAUAAGUAAUCCACCUGGGGAGUACGACCGCAAGGUUGAAACUCAAAGGAAUUGACGGGGGCCCGCACAAGCAGUGGAGUAUGUGGUUUAAUUCGACGCAACGCGAAGAACCUUACCAAGUCUUGACAUCCCUUGACGAUGCUGGAAACAGUAUUUCUCUUCGGAGCAAGGAGACAGGUGGUGCAUGGUUGUCGUCAGCUCGUGUCGUGAGAUGUUGGGUUAAGUCCCGCAACGAGCGCAACCCUUAUGGUCAGUUACUACGCAAGAGGACUCUGGCCAGACUGCCGUUGACAAAACGGAGGAAGGUGGGGAUGACGUCAAAUCAUCAUGCCCUUUAUGACUUGGGCUACACACGUACUACAAUGGCGUUAAACAAAGAGAAGCAAGACCGCGAGGUGGAGCAAAACUCAGAAACAACGUCCCAGUUCGGACUGCAGGCUGCAACUCGCCUGCACGAAGUCGGAAUUGCUAGUAAUCGUGGAUCAGCAUGCCACGGUGAAUACGUUCCCGGGCCUUGCACA